Molecule: ribosomal RNA, 460 nt
Filed under: uncultured bacterium
Lineage: Bacteria
Description: partial 16S ribosomal RNA
Rfam family: Bacterial small subunit ribosomal RNA
Source: RNAcentral
CCUACGGGUGGCAGCAGUGAGGAAUAUUGGUCAAUGGGCGCAAGCCUGAACCAGCCAAGUCGCGUGAAGGAUGACUGCUCUACGGGUUGUAAACUUCUUUUGUAAGGGAGUAAACUGAGGCACGCGUGCCUUUUUGUAUGUACUUUAUGAAUAAGGAUCGGCUAACUCCGUGCCAGCAGCCGCGGUAAUACGGAGGAUUCGAGCGUUAUCCGGAUUUAUUGGGUUUAAAGGGUGCGUAGAUGGGCUGUGAAGUUAGUUGUGAAAGCUUGCGGCUCAACUGUGGAAUUGCCUGUGAUACUGGUCGGCUUGAGUGCAGUUGAGGUAGGCGGAAUGCGUGGUGUAGCGGUGAAAUGCUUAGAGAUCACGAAGAACUCCGAUUGCGAAGGCAGCCUACUAAGCUGCCACUGACGUUGAGGCUCGAAAGCGUGGGUAGCAAACAGGAUUAGAUACCCUAGUAGUC